This 280-nucleotide long non-coding RNA is filed under the name Homo sapiens (human). Its description in RNAcentral is "HSALNT0229876". The record is from RNAcentral. Lineage: Eukaryota; Metazoa; Chordata; Mammalia; Primates; Hominidae.
GAAGCUGCUGCUGAGUCACUCAAGAUGAAGACAGAACUCAUCACUGGAGUCACUCAGGCAGCCUUGAGAGUGGACCCUUGGCCACUGUUCAGGGCAAGGAGGGGCCUCCACGUCUGAGUUCGAGCAGCCCCCAUAGUGGCCAGAGUGUGAAAACUUUUCCCAAAGCAAACCCAGCUGAUCUACUAAACUCCUCCCCGGGCACCCUGGUUGGUAUCUUCUCAUCUUGGGCUCAUGACUUCGUUCGUCCUUUCCUCAGCUUCUUUACCUGCUAACAAAUACA